AUUGAACGCUGGCGGCAUGCUUUACACAUGCAAGUCGAACGGUAACAGGCCGCAAGGUGCUGACGAGUGGCGAACGGGUGAGUAAUGCAUCGGAACGUGCCCAGUCGUGGGGGAUAACUACUCGAAAGAGUAGCUAAUACCGCAUACGAUCUAUGGAUGAAAGCGGGGGACCGUAAGGCCUCGCGCGAUUGGAGCGGCCGAUGUCAGAUUAGGUAGUUGGUGGGGUAAAGGCUCACCAAGCCAACGAUCUGUAGCUGGUCUGAGAGGACGACCAGCCACACUGGAACUGAGACACGGCCCAGACUCCUACGGAAGGCAGAGGGGGGGAAUUUGGGACAAUGGGGGAAAGCCUGAUCAGCAAUGCCGCGUGCAGGAAGAAGGCCUUCGGGUUGUAAACUGCUUUUGUACGGAACGAAACGGCUCUGGUUAAUACCCGGGGCUAAUGACGGUACCGUAAGAAUAAGCACCGGCUAACUACGUG
Molecule: ribosomal RNA, 481 nt
Filed under: uncultured bacterium
Lineage: Bacteria
Description: partial 16S ribosomal RNA
Rfam family: Bacterial small subunit ribosomal RNA
Source: RNAcentral